CAGUCGCCACGGUAAUACGAAGGGGGCUAGCGUUGUUCGGAAUUACUGGGCGUAAAGGGCGCGUAGGCGGCCAUUCAAGUUAGAUGUGAAAGCCCUGGGCUCAACCUAGGAAUUGCAUUUGAUACUGUUUGGCUUGAGUUCGGGAGAGGUGAGUGGAAUUCCCAGUGUAGAGGUGAAAUUCGUAGAUAUUGGGAAGAACACCAGUGGCGAAGGCGGCUCACUGGACCGACACUGACGCUGAGGCGCGAAAGCGUGGGGAGCAAACAGGAUUAGAGCCCCAGUAGUCCCUGUCUCUUAUACA
RNAcentral lists this ribosomal RNA (301 nucleotides) under uncultured bacterium. RNAcentral describes it as "partial 16S ribosomal RNA". It matches the Rfam family "Bacterial small subunit ribosomal RNA", at positions 509 to 808 of the family's 1533-position model. The record is from RNAcentral.